UACAGAGGGUGCGAGCGUUAAUCGGAAUUACUGGGCGUAAAGCGCACGUAGGCGGCUUGGUAUGUCGGGUGUGAAAUCCCCGGGCUCAACCUGGGAACUGCAUCCGAAACUGCCUUGCUCGAGUAUGGGAGAGGGAAGUGGAAUUUCCGGUGUAGCGGUGAAAUGCGUAGAUAUCGUAAGGAACAUCAGUGGCGAAGGCGACUUCCUGGACCAAUACUGACGCUCAGGUGCGAAAGCGUGGGGAGCAAACAGG
This 253-nucleotide ribosomal RNA is filed under the name uncultured bacterium. RNAcentral describes it as "partial 16S ribosomal RNA". It matches the Rfam family "Bacterial small subunit ribosomal RNA", at positions 524 to 776 of the family's 1533-position model. The record is from RNAcentral.